GUCGUUCUCUGAUAACGUGUACAAAAUAUACCCAUUCAAAAUCAAAGAAAAACGGGGAAAAAAAAUUCUUCCAUAAUUUACAGGUUAAGCAGUAUUGAAUAUUUAACAAGAACUGGGAUGUCAUAAAAACAAAUUAAUUGAGCAAAUAUUUCACAAAGCACACAACUUGGUGAUAGAAAAAGACCAUAGUUGCAGCAAUCUUUUCCUUUUUCUUCGUGAAAUUCAAAUAGAAAAUAAAGAGAGAAGUUAAAUAUAAUUUGACAGAAAGGUACCUCGCAGCGCAGCACCACAACCUCCACACUGGUAAAAAGAAUAAUCGGUGACUUCUGGAAGGAUAUUCAGACACUUUGGGCAACGAACUAAACGAACUUUUCCAGAUUCGUACAUUAUUUUUCAAAAGUUUCAGAAAGUAAUGGAAAAGCCCAGAAACAUUUGUUUUAUGUAUAUUUUCUGUAUGUAUGCACUUGUAUGCAAAAAAUUUCGUGCCGAAAAGGGGUUGAAGAAGUUUCAACUUUCAAAAGAAGAUUCUACGGAGCUGCUACACGAUCUGAGGAAAGAAGAAACAGGAAAAAAAACACACCCUCUCUCUCUAUAUCUAUCUCUCUAAUGUUCCUCAAACAUUUGCAGCUUUUUCCACGUUGAAAGUUGGACAAGUUCUCGACAUGUACUUUUGUUUCGGUCUUCAGUUCUUGAUUUCACAUUAAUGUGUGUUCGUUUGACAAGUAUUCAAAGGAGUACAAAUUGUUGUGGAAAAAACAAAGAGAGAAAUGUAAUCAAAUU
This 780-nucleotide long non-coding RNA is filed under the name Olea europaea subsp. europaea. The record is from RNAcentral. Lineage: Eukaryota; Viridiplantae; Streptophyta; Magnoliopsida; Lamiales; Oleaceae.